This 206-nucleotide long non-coding RNA is filed under the name Struthio camelus australis. Its description in RNAcentral is "lncRNA (ENSSCUG00000007971.1)". The record is from RNAcentral. Lineage: Eukaryota; Metazoa; Chordata; Aves; Struthioniformes; Struthionidae.
AACCACUAUUCAAACAACACUUUCGAAAUGGCAACUGGCUGUGGCAGGCUCCGAUUCACUGUGCUUUAGUCAUGACUGUUGCUUCACGCUUGUGGAGUGCCCUGAAGCCUGAAUGCAGUCAGUCAGCUCUAGAGGGGAAUGCCACCUGCAGAAAGGAUGAGAACCAUCUGCAUCAUGGGGCCUGGGGGCCAUGGACCACUGUCUGA